ACAUCUAAGUACCCCGAGGAGAAGAAAUCAACCGAGAUUCCGGUAGUAGCGGCGAGCGAACCUGGAUUAGCCCUUAAGCACUCGGUGAAGUAGGUGAACAAGCUGGAAAGCUUGGCGAUACAGGGUGAUAGCCCCGUAACCGACGCUUCAUCGAGCGUGAAAUCGAGUAGGGCGGGACACGUGAUAUCCUGUCUGAAUAUGGGGGGACCAUCCUCCAAGGCUAAAUACUCCUGACUGACCGAUAGUGAACCAGUACCGUGAGGGAAAGGCGAAAAGAACCCCUGUGAGGGGAGUGAAAUAGAACCUGAAACCGUGUACGUACAAGCAGUAGGAGCACCUUCGUGGUGUGACUGCGUACCUUUUGUAUAAUGGGUCAGCGACUUAUAUUCAGUGGCAAGGUUAACCGUAUAGGGGAGCCGUAGCGAAAGCGAGUCUUAACUGGGCGCUCAGUCUCUGGAUAUAGACCCGAAACCGGGUGAUCUAGCCAUGGGCAGGUUGAAGGUUGAGUAACAUCAACUGGAGGACCGAACCGACUAAUGUUGAAAAAUUAGCGGAUGACUUGUGGCUAGGGGUGAAAGGCCAAUCAAACUCGGAGAUAGCUGGUUCUCCCCGAAAGCUAUUUAGGUAGCGCCUCGGACGAAUACUACUGGGGGUAGAGCACUGUUAAGGCUAGGGGGUCAUCCCGACUUACCAACCCUUUGCAAACUCCGAAUACCAGUAAGUACUAUCCGGGAGACACACGGCGGGUGCUAACGUCCGUCGUGGAGAGGGAAACAACCCAGACCGCCAGCUAAGGUCCCAAAGUAUUGCUAAGUGGGAAACGAUGUGGGAAGGCUCAGACAGCUAGGAUGUUGGCUUAGAAGCAGCCAUCAUUUAAAGAAAGCGUAAUAGCUCACUAGUCGAGUCGGCCUGCGCGGAAGAUGUAACGGGGCUAAGCAAUACACCGAAGCUGCGGCAAUGUCUUUUAGAUAUUGGGUAGGGGAGCGUUCUGUAAGCCGUUGAAGGUGAAUCGUAAGGUUUGCUGGAGGUAUCAGAAGUGCGAAUGCUGACAUGAGUAACGACAAAGGGGGUGAAAAACCUCCUCGCCGGAAGACCAAGGGUUCCUGUCCAACGUUAAUCGGGGCAGGGUGAGUCGACCCCUAAGGUGAGGCCGAAAGGCGUAAUCGAUGGGAAACGGGUUAAUAUUCCCGUACUUCUGACUAUUGCGAUGGGGGGACGGAGAAGGCUAGGUGGGCCAGGCGACGGUUGUCCUGGUUCAAGUGCGUAGGCUUGAGAGUUAGGUAAAUCCGGCUCUCUUUAAGGCUGAGACACGACGUCGAGCUGCUACGGCAGUGAAGUCAUUGAUGCCAUGCUUCCAGGAAAAGCCUCUAAGCUUCAGAUAGUCAGGAAUCGUACCCCAAACCGACACAGGUGGUCGGGUAGAGAAUACCAAGGCGCUUGAGAGAACUCGGGUGAAGGAACUAGGCAAAAUGGUACCGUAACUUCGGGAGAAGGUACGCUCUUGAUGGUGAAGUCCCUCGCGGAUGGAGCUGACGAGAGUCGCAGAUACCAGGUGGCUGCAACUGUUUAUUAAAAACACAGCACUGUGCAAAAUCGCAAGAUGACGUAUACGGUGUGACGCCUGCCCGGUGCCGGAAGGUUAAUUGAUGGGGUUAGCGCAAGCGAAGCUCUUGAUCGAAGCCCCGGUAAACGGCGGCCGUAACUAUAACGGUCCUAAGGUAGCGAAAUUCCUUGUCGGGUAAGUUCCGACCUGCACGAAUGGCGUAAUGAUGGCCACGCUGUCUCCACCCGAGACUCAGUGAAAUUGAAAUCGCUGUGAAGAUGCAGUGUACCCGCGGCUAGACGGAAAGACCCCGUGAACCUUUACUACAGCUUGGCACUGAACAUUGAACCUACAUGUGUAGGAUAGGUGGGAGGCUAUGAAGACGUGACGCCAGUUGCGUUGGAGCCGUCCUUGAAAUACCACCCUUGUAUGUUUGAUGUUCUAACGUUGGCCCCUAAUCGGGGUUGCGGACAGUGCCUGGUGGGUAGUUUGACUGGGGCGGUCUCCUCCCAAAGAGUAACGGAGGAGCACGAAGGUGGGCUAAUCACGGUUGGACAUCGUGAGGUUAGUGCAAUGGCAUAAGCCCGCUUAACUGCGAGAAUGACGGUUCGAGCAGGUGCGAAAGCAGGUCAUAGUGAUCCGGUGGUUCUGUAUGGAAGGGCCAUCGCUCAACGGAUAAAAGGUACUCCGGGGAUAACAGGCUGAUACCGCCCAAGAGUUCAUAUCGACGGCGGUGUUUGGCACCUCGAUGUCGGCUCAUCACAUCCUGGGGCUGAAGUCGGUCCCAAGGGUAUGGCUGUUCGCCAUUUAAAGUGGUACGCGAGCUGGGUUUAGAACGUCGUGAGACAGUUCGGUCCCUAUCUGCCGUGGGCGUUGGAAGAUUGAAGGGGGCUGCUCCUAGUACGAGAGGACCGGAGUGGACGAACCUCUGGUGUUCGGGUUGUGUCGCCAGACGCAUUGCCCGGUAGCUAAGUUCGGAAUUGAUAAGCGCUGAAAGCAUCUAAGCGCGAAGCGAGCCCUGAGAUGAGUCUUCCCUGAUA
Molecule: ribosomal RNA, 2583 nt
Filed under: Vibrio cholerae
Lineage: Bacteria; Pseudomonadati; Pseudomonadota; Gammaproteobacteria; Vibrionales; Vibrionaceae
Description: partial 23S ribosomal RNA
Rfam family: Bacterial large subunit ribosomal RNA
Source: RNAcentral